AGUGAACGCUGGCGGUAGGCCUAACACAUGCAAGUCGAACGGCAGCACAGUAAGAGCUUGCUCUUACGGGUGGCGAGUGGCGGACGGGUGAGGAAUACAUCGGAAUCUACUUUUUCGAGGGGGAUAACGUAGGGAAACUUACGCUAAUACCGCAUACGACCUACGGGUGAAAGCAGGGGAUCUUCGGACCUUGCGCGAUUGAAUGAGCCGAUGUCGGAUUAGCUAGUUGGCGGGGUAAAGGCCCACCAAGGCGACGAUCCGUAGCUGGUCUGAGAGGAUGAUCAGCCACACUGGAACUGAGACACGGUCCAGACUCCUACGGGAGGCAGCAGUGGGGAAUAUUGGACAAUGGGCGCAAGCCUGAUCCAGCCAUACCGCGUGGGUGAAGAAGGCCUUCGGGUUGUAAAGCCCUUUUGCUGGGAAAGAAAAGCAGCAGGUUAAUACCCCGCUGUUCUGACGGUACCCAAAGAAUAAGCACCGGCUAACUUCGUG
This 492-nucleotide ribosomal RNA is filed under the name uncultured bacterium. RNAcentral describes it as "partial 16S ribosomal RNA". It matches the Rfam family "Bacterial small subunit ribosomal RNA", at positions 29 to 507 of the family's 1533-position model. The record is from RNAcentral.